GCCAUUUGCAGUAACGUGGAUGGACCUAGAGAUGCUCAUACUAAGUGAACUAAGUCAGAAAAAGAAAGACGAACACCAUACGAUAUCGUUCACAUGUGGGCUCUAAAACGUGGCACAAAUGAACUCACCUAUGAAACAGAACGACAACAACAACACGAAACAGAAACCGUCUCACAGACACAAGAGAACAGGCUCGUAGCUGCCAGGGCAGAGCAAGGUGAAGGAGAGAUGGACUGGGAGUCGGGGUUAGUUCCUGCGAAAGUCGCUCAGGCGUGUCCAACUCUUUGCGACCCCAUGGACUAUCCAGCCCAUGGAAUCUCCAGGCCAGAAUACUGGAAUGGGUAGCCUUUCCCGUCUCCAGGGGAUCAUCCCAACCCAGGGAUCGAACCCAGGUCUCCGCAUUGCAGGCGGAUUCUUUACCAGCUGAGCCUCACGGGAAGCCCUUGGGGUUAGUAGAUGCAAACUAUUAUAUAUGCGAUGGAUAAACAACAAGGUCCUGCUGUAAGCACAGGGAACUCUAUUCAGUGUCUUGUGAUAAACCAUAACAGAAAAGAAUAUGAAAAAGAAUGUAUAUAUAUAUAUAUGUAUGUAUAUAUGUAACUGAGUGUGCCGUACAGUAGAAAUUAACACAACAUUGUAAAUCAACCAUACUUUCACAAAUAAAGGGAAAAAAGGAUUCAAAUUACAGAUCAGAAAGCACGAAAGGGUCACCAUGCCUUACUGUCCCCAUCCUCUGUGAGUGUAUGAGAUAGACCAGAUGGCGGUUUUCAGCUCUUACACAUCAUAGAUUGAUAAUUCUACCUUUUCCCUAAUUUCAGGAACCAGCAGAGGGACUGCCAACUCUUUGUCUUGUCAAGAAAGGACAAAUUUUAAAGUACCACUUACAACCACUGGCAUUUUGUACCAAACAAGAGACAUGUUGGCACCAAAAGCAAAGGAAAUCAACAGUCUUGGAAGUUUUUUAAAAUGGGAUCGUCCCCACUUUGAAGGAACAAGGCUUUCCUGUUCUGGAAAUGUUUGUGCUGCCAGGAGUCCAGAAGAUGAAAGAAAAUGGAGAGAGGCCCCUUUACAUGGAGCUGGGGCUGGGCUCCCAGGAACCAUGGGUUCCCAGGACAGUGCCGAGCUGUGGGCUGAAGGCAUCUCAGAAAGCUAUACAGGUCAGAGGGCAGGCUGUUCUGGCAUAUGGAACUGAUGACAAGGCAGAAGAGUUAAGGGGAUGCUGGGUCCUACCCUCCAAUUAUACAGAUAGGAACACAAGAUCUAGAGAGGGGAAGUGACCUGUCCAAGGUCACACAGCAUCCAGCAGCCAAGGCAGGACUUGAUCCCACAACUUCUGAGUUUUCCUCCCAGACCCCUCUCCCCAUCCUCCAGGGCCCUCUCCCAGGAGUGCUCCUGAACUUUUCUGUUUGGUGGACCCACACAACAACUACUCCAACCCCUCCCAACAUCCUGCAUCACCAGGUUUCAAAAUCACUCCUGGCUUUCCAAGGGAAACAUAGUUUGGUUUUGGUUCUUUCUUUUCUCCCACUCAUAUAAGGAAAUCUGAGAGCCCUUUCUAAUUGUUUGGUCAAGACUGCAGACAGGCAACGAGGCAUGCCACAAAUAAUAUCCUGAGCCUGGGGAAUCCAAGGCCACCACUGGCCUGGGGAAAGAUGGGACACCAGGCCUGUCCCUGGUGCUUGCUCAGCACAUGAGUCCCGAGUUCUUGGAACACAGCGGGGUGUUUGCCAAGCUUCCCAGAUCCCUGAUGUGGGGCCUUGUCAGGGAAGACUGAGGGAGUCUAUACCAAGCCCCCGGAGGCUGGGGCUUUAGUGGUUGCAAGUGCAGACUGAGUCUAUGCAGACUUGGCACCUGUGGGCCCUCCCAGAAGUGGGGCCCUGCAGUCUAGCCUCUCUUGCAGCUAGGUGUGGUCGUGUGACUAAGUUCUGGUCAGUGGGAUAUGAUCACAAAGUGAUGUGCUCAACUUAAGUAAAGACAGGGGCAUGGCCUUCUUUGCUCCUCCCUUCUUGCUGAUUAGACAGUAGAUGUGAUGACCAGAGUUCCAGCAGCCAUUUUGGAGCCUGAGGUGACUCUAGGAAUAGCAAGAACAAGAUAGGAGAAAUCUAGGCCCUGACAUUGUGGAGUACCCCACGUGGGAAAUGAAUCUCCAUCUUCCUUUUUUUUUCUUUUGCCACACUGUAUGGCUUGUGGCCCUCAGCACUGAAAGCUUGGAGUCCUAACCACUGGACCACCAGGAAAUUCCCAAUUUCCAUAUUCCUAAAGCCACAAUUAUUUGGCGUUUCCUUUGAUUUGUGGACAAUACUAUUCUUAAGUAAUGUACCAUUUUUUGGCUGGGAAGUGAGUUGCGGUCAUUUGCAGAGGGUCUAUGUGUAAGAGGCUCAAGGAAGCUCUGUGAUGAAACUGAUAAUUAUUGUGUGUAAGAAUAAUCGCUGACAUUUAUCAGUGUGUGUGUGUGUGUGUGUGUAAAACACUCAGCCCAGUGCCUGGCUCACAGGAAGAACCCAAUAAACGUUAGUAACUGUACUGUCA
Long non-coding RNA from Bos indicus x Bos taurus (hybrid cattle), 2529 nucleotides. NCBI's taxonomy places the organism in Eukaryota, Metazoa, Chordata, Mammalia, Artiodactyla, Bovidae. The record is from Ensembl.